This 300-nucleotide ribosomal RNA is filed under the name Triticum aestivum (bread wheat). RNAcentral describes it as "partial small subunit ribosomal RNA". The record is from RNAcentral. Lineage: Eukaryota; Viridiplantae; Streptophyta; Magnoliopsida; Poales; Poaceae.
AUGAGUAGACCGCGGAAAGUCUCUCGCAAGGAUGUUCCCCUAGUUUCUUCAGUCGAGAGCGCUGAUUCUUUGAGAGACCCUUAUGUGCCUAAUGAUUUUGCUGAUGAUGGUUCUAAUGCUAUGUCUUUGGGAGUUAUUAUUUGUCUUCUUAUCUUCUUUCCAUUUCCAUUUUCAUUUUCUUUUAUAUUUUUAUAUUUUUUUAUUAAUUUUUGUUAUUGUUUUUUGAUAUUUUUUUCCUUUUGCAGGGUUGUUCUGGUGAUGAUGAAGAGUUUGAUAAAGCACUUUACAAUUUCUAUCUGA